Non-coding RNA from Pelobates cultripes (western spadefoot toad), 283 nucleotides. Lineage: Eukaryota; Metazoa; Chordata; Amphibia; Anura; Pelobatidae. The record is from the annotation of a GenBank genome assembly.
GGUCAGCUCACCCAGGGGAGCACGGGGGGGGACUAAAGUCAGAGUUCAGCAAUUGUAUAAUAUGAGUACACAAGCUAAGAUUAGUCAGAAUUUAAGCAACUAAUGUACUUCUAGUACGCUUGGCUUUGCGCCAUGUCUGUAAACUGCUGUUUAACUGGUGGGCCCAAGCGAAAUAUAUGCUCCUGGACUCACAAAUAUUGCUGGAGCACCAUAAGAUCAGCUAUGUUUCUGUCCUACACUAUACCUCAGCUAACGAUUGCUCCUGAUUAACGCUUAAUUACUC